Schistosoma haematobium is the source of this 49-nucleotide non-coding RNA. NCBI's taxonomy places the organism in Eukaryota, Metazoa, Platyhelminthes, Trematoda, Strigeidida, Schistosomatidae. The record is from Rfam.
GCACUGCUGAGGAGGAGUCCAACAAUAGGACGAAACGGCUGUCCAGUGC